AUUGAACGCUGGCGGCAGGCCUAACACAUGCAAGUCGAGCGGCAGCACGGGUACUUGUACCUGGUGGCGAGCGGCGGACGGGUGAGUAAUGCCUAGGAAUCUGCCUGGUAGUGGGGGAUAACGCUCGGAAACGGACGCUAAUACCGCAUACGUCCUACGGGAGAGAGCAGGGGACCUUCGGGCCUUGCGCUAUCAGAUGAGCCUAGGUCGGAUUAGCUAGUUGGUGAGGAAUGGCUCACCAAGGCGACGAUCCGUAACUGGUCUGAGAGGAUGAUCAGUCACACUGGAACUGAGACACGGUCCAGACUCCUACGGGAGGCAGCAGUGGGGAAUAUUGGACAAUGGGCGAAAGCCUGAUCCAGCCAUGCCGCGUGUGUGAAGAAGGUCUUCGGAUUGUAAAGCACUUUAAGUUGGGAGGAAGGGCAUUUACCUAAUACGUAAGUGUUUUGACGUUACCGACAGAAUAAGCACCGGCUAACUCUGUGCC
RNAcentral lists this ribosomal RNA (487 nucleotides) under uncultured bacterium. RNAcentral describes it as "bacterial SSU rRNA". It matches the Rfam family "Bacterial small subunit ribosomal RNA", at positions 30 to 509 of the family's 1533-position model. The record is from RNAcentral.